AUUGAACGCUGGCGGCAGGCCUAACACAUGCAAGUCGAGCGAGCGUCGGACGGGUGAGUAAUGUAUGGGGAUCUGCCCGUGAGGGGGGGAGAACUACUGGAGACGGGGGCUAAUACACCAUACUGCCGGAUGAAUCCCGAGGGGAUUAGCUGGUAGUGUAGGUAAUGGCUUACCUAGGGGACGCUCCCUAGCUGGUCUGAGAGGAUGAUCAGCCACACUGGAACUGAGACACGGCCCAGACUCCUACGGGAGGCAGCAGUGGGGAAUAUUGCACAAUGGGCGCAAGCCUGAUGCAGCCAUGCCGCGUGUGUGAAGAAGGCCCUAGGGUUGUAAAGCACUUUCAGUCGGGAGGCGUUACCGACAGAAGAAGCACCGGCUAACUCCGUGCCAGCAGCCGCGGUAAUUC
Molecule: ribosomal RNA, 406 nt
Filed under: uncultured bacterium
Lineage: Bacteria
Description: partial 16S ribosomal RNA
Rfam family: Bacterial small subunit ribosomal RNA
Source: RNAcentral